Molecule: transfer RNA, 65 nt
Organism: Toxocara canis (dog roundworm)
Lineage: Eukaryota; Metazoa; Nematoda; Chromadorea; Rhabditida; Toxocaridae
Rfam family: tRNA
About the family: Transfer RNA (tRNA) molecules are approximately 80 nucleotides in length.
Source: Rfam
GCAGUAGCUCAGUGGUAGAGCUCUCGUCUCAUAUACGGGAAGACCUGGAUUCGAUUUCCUACUGC